RNAcentral lists this transfer RNA (69 nucleotides) under Pentacheles validus. RNAcentral's name for it is "tRNA-Phe". Lineage: Eukaryota; Metazoa; Arthropoda; Malacostraca; Decapoda; Polychelidae. The record is from RNAcentral.
UACCCAUAGAUAAGUCUUAUCACCCUUGUGUCUUCAGCACAAAAUUCUACUAUUUUAAAUUAUAAGAGU